RNAcentral lists this ribosomal RNA (468 nucleotides) under uncultured bacterium. RNAcentral's name for it is "partial 16S ribosomal RNA". It matches the Rfam family "Bacterial small subunit ribosomal RNA", at positions 28 to 507 of the family's 1533-position model. The record is from RNAcentral.
GACGAACGCUGGCGGCGUGCUUAACACAUGCAAGUCGAACGGAAAGGCCCUGCUUUUGUGGGGUGCUCGAGUGGCGAACGGGUGAGUAACACGUGAGUAACCUGCCCUUGACUUUGGGAUAACUUCAGGAAACUGGGGCUAAUACCGGAUAGGAGCUCCUGCUGCAUGGUGGGGGUUGGAAAGUUUCGGCGGUUGGGGAUGGACUCGCGGCUUAUCAGCUUGUUGGUGGGGUAGUGGCUUACCAAGGCUUUGACGGGUAGCCGGCCUGAGAGGGUGACCGGCCAGAUGGGGACUGAGAUACGGCACAGACGGCUACGGGAGGCAGCAGGGGGGAGUCGUGCACAAUGGGCGGAAGCGUGAUGCAGCGUCGCCGCGGGGGGGAAGACGGCUUUCGGGUAGUAAACCGCUUUCGACUGAGACGAAGCGUGAGUGACGGUAAUGGGUAAAGAAGCACCGGCUAACUACGUG